RNAcentral lists this ribosomal RNA (337 nucleotides) under uncultured eukaryote. Its description in RNAcentral is "partial 18S ribosomal RNA". It matches the Rfam family "Eukaryotic small subunit ribosomal RNA", at positions 1470 to 1796 of the family's 1831-position model. The record is from RNAcentral.
CCCUUAGAUGUCCUGGGCCGCACGCGCGUUACACUGAUGCAUUCAACGAGCUUAUAACCUUGGCCGAGAGGCCUGGGCAAUCUUGUUAACGUGCAUCGUGAUAGGGAUAGAUUAUUGAAAUUAUUAAUCUUGAACGAGGAAUUCCUAGUAAACGCAGAUCAUCAAUCUGCAUUGAUUACGUCCCUGCCCUUUGUACACACCGCCCGUCGCACCUACCGAUUGGAUGGUUUAGUGAGACCCUCGGACUGGUCCCGCUGUCGGACAGGCAACUGUUUGCAGCGCGUGCGCCGGGAAGAAGGUCGAACUUGACUAUCUAGAGGAAGUAAAAGUCGUAACA